GACGAACGCUGGCGGCGCGCUUAACACAUGCAAGUCGAACGGAAAGGCCUGCUUUCCCUUGUGGAUUGCGGGUACUCGAGUGGCGAACGGGUGAGUAACACGUGAGUGAUCUGCCCCCAACUUGGGUAUAAGCCUGGGAAACUGGGUCUAAUUCCCGAUAGGACUGCAGGGUGGUGCCUGUGGUGGAAAACGAUUUUCUAGUGGUUGGGGAUGAGCUCGCGGCCUAUCAGCUUGUUGGUGGGGUAAUGGCCUACCAAGGCGGCGACGGGUAGCCGGCCUGAGAGGGGGGACGGCCACAUUGGGACUGAGAUACGGCCCAGACGCCUACGGGAGGCAGCAGUGGGGAAUAUUGCACAAUGGGCGGAAGCCUGAUGCAGCGACGCCGCGUGGGGGAUGACGGCCUUCGGGUUGUAAACUCCUUUCGACCGCGAGGAAGCCACCUGGAUGGAAGGGUGGUGACGGUAGUGGUAGAAGAAGCACCGGCUAACUACGUG
Molecule: ribosomal RNA, 494 nt
Filed under: uncultured bacterium
Lineage: Bacteria
Description: partial 16S ribosomal RNA
Rfam family: Bacterial small subunit ribosomal RNA
Source: RNAcentral